This 445-nucleotide ribosomal RNA is filed under the name uncultured bacterium. RNAcentral's name for it is "bacterial SSU rRNA". It matches the Rfam family "Bacterial small subunit ribosomal RNA", at positions 355 to 793 of the family's 1533-position model. The record is from RNAcentral.
GUGGGAAUAUGCACAAUGGACGAAAGUCUGAUGGAGCAACGCCGCGUGAGUGAAGAAGGGUUUCGGCUCGUAAAACUCUGUUGUUAAAGAAGAACAUAUCUGAGAGUAACUGUUCAGGUAUUGACGGUAUUUAACCAGAAAGCCACGGCUAACUACGUGCCAGCAGCCGCGGUAAUACGUAGGUGGCAAGCGUUGUCCGGAUUUAUUGGGCGUAAAGCGAGCGCAGGCGGUUUUUUAAGUCUGAUGUGAAAGCCUUCGGCUCAACCGAAGAAGUGCAUCGGAAACUGGGAAACUUGAGUGCAGAAGAGGACAGUGGAACUCCAUGUGUAGCGGUGAAAUGCGUAGAUAUAUGGAAGAACACCAGUGGCGAAGGCGGCUGUCUGGUCUGUAACUGACGCUGAGGCUCGAAAGUAUGGGUAGCAAACAGGAUUAGAUACCCUGGUAG